GCGAGCGAAAAGGGAUGAGCCCAGCGCCGAAUCCCCGGCUUCRCGGUCGUGGGAAAUGUGGCGUUUAGGAGUGAGCGUGCCGGGAAGGAAGAGGCGGCAAGUCCCCCUGACCGGGGCCUGUCCGUAGCGGGUGCGAGACCCAUAGCCGCCUCGUCCCGACCGGAUGCGAUCUCCUUGGAGUCGGGUUGCUUGGGAGUGCAGCCCUAAUCGGGUGGUAAACUCCACCUAAGGCUAAAUACCGCCGUGAGACCGAUAGCAAACAAGUACCGUGAGGGAAAGUUGCAAAGAACUUUGAAGAGAGAGUUCAAGAGUACGUGAAACUGCUCAKAGGUAAACGGGUGGGCCCUCGAAAUCCUGUGGCGAGAGGAUUCAGUGCGGGUCGGACUAAAGGUCUACCGGAGGAGCGUCCCCGUUACGGGGGCCGCCGGCGAGGCAUGCUAAGUUCAGUCCCGUACGCAUUUGUCUCUCGUCCCGAGGACGCUGCAGCCGGUUCGGCAGUGCAAACGUGACGGCCUGAAGGGCCGGGACUGGCAGGUGGCCGGUGGUCGGAGUUCUUCCGUCUCGCCGGUUGUUAGCCGCCCGGUCGGUGGCUCGUCGCCGGACCGUGGUUUGCGGGUUGCCCGUCACGGGCGUACCCCUCGACUCCUUCCCUUUAAAGCGACGCGGGACAGACCGUGGCAAGGGUUUCGCAGCCGUUGAGUCGCAGUUCUCAGACUUGGACUUUUACGGCUCGGAGCCCCGUUGGCCGCGACGGGCCCGCUGGGGACUGGAGGCUGGCAGCGAGUAGGUCGGUCACCCACCCGACCCGUCUUGAAACACGGACCAAGGAGUCUAACAUGUGCGCGAGUCAAUGGGUCUUGAAUAGGCCCAUGGGCGCAAUGAAAGCGAAGGCGCGUCUUAGCGCGUGCCGAGUCGGGAUCCCCCUCUUCAAGGAGCGGGGCGCACCGACGACCCGUCCUAUCCGGCUCGCCGGUUGGGCGGAGUUUGAGCGCACACGUUGGGACCCGAAAGAUGGUGAACUAUGCCCGGACAGGAUGAAGUCAGAGGAAACUCUGAUGGAGGUCCGC
RNAcentral lists this ribosomal RNA (1067 nucleotides) under Leviea francesae. Its description in RNAcentral is "partial 28S ribosomal RNA". It matches the Rfam family "Eukaryotic large subunit ribosomal RNA", at positions 89 to 878 of the family's 3401-position model. The record is from RNAcentral. Lineage: Eukaryota; Metazoa; Arthropoda; Arachnida; Araneae; Salticidae.